RNAcentral lists this transfer RNA (73 nucleotides) under Nyctereutes procyonoides (raccoon dog). It matches the Rfam family "tRNA". From Rfam's summary of the family: Transfer RNA (tRNA) molecules are approximately 80 nucleotides in length. Lineage: Eukaryota; Metazoa; Chordata; Mammalia; Carnivora; Canidae. The record is from Rfam by way of RNAcentral.
ACCUGGCUGGCUCAGUUGGUAGAGCAAGCGACUCUUGAUCUCAGGGUUGUGAGUUAGAGCCCCAUGUUGAGUG